Unclassified non-coding RNA from Macaca mulatta (Rhesus monkey), 148 nucleotides. It matches the Rfam family "Metazoan signal recognition particle RNA". Rfam says of the family: The signal recognition particle (SRP) is a universally conserved ribonucleoprotein. It is involved in the co-translational targeting of proteins to membranes. The record is from Ensembl. NCBI's taxonomy places the organism in Eukaryota, Metazoa, Chordata, Mammalia, Primates, Cercopithecidae.
GCUGGGCGUGGUGGUGCAUGCCUGUAAUCCCAGCUACUCAGGAGGCUGAGGCAGGAGAAUCACUUGAACCCGGGAGGUGGAGGUUGCGGUGAGGCAAGAUUGCACCACUGCACUCCAGCCUGGGUGACAGAGUGAGAGCCAGUUUUUU